Molecule: small nucleolar RNA, 71 nt
Organism: Parambassis ranga (Indian glassy fish)
Lineage: Eukaryota; Metazoa; Chordata; Actinopteri; Ambassidae
Source: Ensembl
CCCUGCCUGUGAUGAUACAAGUUAUCCCUGUCUGAACUUAAAGUGUGGAGUCAUGGUAACCUGAGGCUGCC